AGCUCUUGAAUAAAAAAAUAAUGUAGAGGGAAGAGCAGAGGAAAAAAACCACGGAAAUUGGGGACUGAGGAAAAAUGCAAUCUUCAUUGUACUGUAAAUUUGAUGAUCAAUGGCUUUGAAAGUGAAUCGUUUGUCUAUGGGAUGUAAUUCAAAGAGUAAAAUAUCUUUGUUACAGCUGGGGGAUUGCAGACAAACUAAUUGGCCUGACCAGGAUAAAAGAAAAAGACCACUUUGGAGAAACUGCUAUAAUUCUGAGAAGGAAAAGGCCCACCGUUCAGAAGUGGACAGGAGAAAAAGUGCUGCAAACUUGAUCUUUCUGAAACUCCUGACAGAUGAGGUUGUUGCUGUUUUGGGUGAAGGUACUUCUGGAGUAGUGGAAUGCAUCAAUCACAAAGCUCACUGUGCCCAGAUGUUGGAAUGGUUUGAGCACCACGGACACCAUAUGCAUUGUUUCUGAGCUCGUGGGACUCAGCACCUUUGACUUGCAUUGAAGAGAAUGCUCUCUGCCAUUUAAGCUGGGUCACAUUAGACAGAUGGCAUAUCAGACCUGCAGAUCUGUGAACUGUAAGGAUGCUUCCUUUUUGCUUUAUUUGUUAUGUGAAUAAAAACGUCUCUUGAUUUCCUUUCA
RNAcentral lists this long non-coding RNA (628 nucleotides) under Lepidothrix coronata (blue-crowned manakin). RNAcentral's name for it is "lncRNA (ENSLCOG00000016031.1)". The record is from RNAcentral. Lineage: Eukaryota; Metazoa; Chordata; Aves; Passeriformes; Pipridae.